GUUUCUGUAACUCAGUGGUAGAGUGCACGAUUGCAAUUGUCUCGCGUUAUCGUGCGGUCCUGGGAUCGACCCCCAGCAGGAACU
This is a non-coding RNA of Roridomyces roridus, 84 nucleotides long. NCBI's taxonomy places the organism in Eukaryota, Fungi, Basidiomycota, Agaricomycetes, Agaricales, Mycenaceae. The record is from the annotation of a GenBank genome assembly.